Non-coding RNA from Salvia hispanica, 1746 nucleotides. The record is from RefSeq and is a predicted model, not a curated record. Lineage: Eukaryota; Viridiplantae; Streptophyta; Magnoliopsida; Lamiales; Lamiaceae.
AAAUUCAGUUGUCAUUUCAUCGCAGCUCUGUAAUGGAGAGCUUACGAAUUUCCUCGUCGUAUCUGCUUGCUUCGAAAUCGCUGAUUAACAGUUCUUCAACUGCGUUCUCCCCUCGACAUUGCUACAGCUUAAAUUCGAAAAGAAUUGGUGCGCGCAGAAUUGCAUGUGAUUAUUCCUGCUUCGAACCAUUAAUGAAAGAUUCCGAUUCCCCUGUCCCCUAUCAGAUAAAGAGCGUCACUUAUCGACCUCCGGGAACUGAGGUUGAUCUUUUGAACGGAGUCAGCUUCUCCUUACCUGAGAAAAGUUUUGGUCUGAUCUUUGGACGAAGUGGAAGUGGGAAAACAACACUUUUGCAGCUGAUUGCAGGACUAAGUAAACCAACAUCAGGCUCAAUCUAUGUUCAAAGAUAUGGUGAAGAUGGUAAUCCAAAUCAAUGUCCCAAACUGUUGCAACCCAGAAGAGUUGGUAUAGUUUUCCAGUUUCCGGAAAGGUUUUUCAUUGCAGACAAUAUUCUUGAUGAAAUUAUAUUUGGGUGGCCAAGACAAAGAGCUGGCCUGCAAUUGAGAGAGAUUCUUGCUUCAAGGCUCCAAAAAGCUAUGACCUCGGUUGGGCUAACUGGAAUCCCUUUGGACAAAGAUCCCCAAUCACUGAGUGGUGGAUACAAACGUCGGCUUGCUCUAGCAAUUCAGUUGGUUCAAACCCCAGACCUAUUAGUACUGGACGAGCCUCUUGCUGGUCUAGAUUGGAAGGCCCGUGCAGAUGUGGUUAAAUUGUUGAGAGACCUGAAGAAGGAGCUGGCGUUGCUUGUUGUCAGCCAUGACCUUAAAGAGUUGGCACCUCUAGUAGAUCAGUCAUGGAGGAUGGAAAUGGGUGGGAUACUGAGGAGAGAAUGCCUGCCUAUUUAAUUAUGUGCCUUCACUUUCUAAUCAACUAAUGUUGCUGUAAUUAAGGUACGACAAUGGAGGUUCUAAUUCUGUGCAUAGUCUCAUUUCAAGCAUAUUCAAAUUAACUGGAAAAUAUAGAUGUGCAAUGUAAGUGGUCUUCAUAGUAGUUCCCCUGAUGAUCACCUCGUACCAAACCAGAAUCUUUUGAAACCUUUGACAUGCAAACGAGAAUGGUAAUGGAGAUCUCAAAUAUGAUACUAUCAUUCUACGCUUUCUAGACAAUGUAAUAAUCACACAAGCACUCAAUGCAUUGAACAUAAUAGCUUUUAGUACAAACAUUUAUUGUUUUCGAGAACUGAAUUUUACUUGUAAAGUAGAACAGGAUACAAAUAGCGUUACCAUCUGCUACCAUAGCACUUCACUGUAGAUCAAACUGGCUAGGAGAAACAUACAUAACCGAGCAAACUCCACACAUGACAGUCGCUAUUGGAUAAAGUCGCAAACAUACAUACCCGAGCAAGCUCCACGCAUGAUAGUCGAAUAAACGAGGAUGCCCACCUUGAUUUUAGUGUUUCGCCCCCUACAGCUCCAGGACCACGUCUUGUAAUUUAGAUGCCCAAGACAGGAAAAGAAAAGAGUCAGGGACAAGAACAGAAACAUCCAGUAGAAAUUCUUGGCCACAUGAAUAUUUUUAAGAAGUCCAUUUGGCAAUUACAUGCUGAAGAGAGUGUGUAACGCUAGACAGCUGUGUGAUUGUAAACUACUGUUCUGUUCCAUCAAAAAAAUAUUUUUCAGCUGUUAACCACAACCAUGCACUGCCCAUACUCAAUGUAUAAAGGUACAUAUCCUUUAUUUGUUGUUA